CAGGCCUAACACAUGCAAGUCGAACGGCAGCACGGACUUCGGUCUGGUGGCGAGUGGCGAACGGGUGAGUAAUGCAUCGGAACGUGCCCAAUCGUGGGGGAUAACGUAGCGAAAGUUACGCUAAUACCGCAUACGAUCUAAGGAUGAAAGCGGGGGAUCGCAAGACCUCGCGCGAAUGGAGCGGCCGAUGUUAGAUUAGGUAGUUGGUGGGGUAAAGGCUCACCAAGCCGACGAUCUAUAGCUGGUCUGAGAGGAUGAUCAGCCACACUGGGACUGAGACACGGCCCAGACUCCUACGGGAGGCAGCAGUGGGGAAUUUUGGACAAUGGGCGCAAGCCUGAUCCAGCCAUUCCGCGUGCAGGAUGAAGGCCCUCGGGUUGUAAACUGCUUUUGUACAGAACGAAAAGCUCUGGGUUAAUACCCUGGGGUCAUGACGGUACUGUAAGAAUAGCACCGGCUACUC
Molecule: ribosomal RNA, 463 nt
Filed under: uncultured bacterium
Lineage: Bacteria
Description: bacterial SSU rRNA
Rfam family: Bacterial small subunit ribosomal RNA
Source: RNAcentral